Long non-coding RNA from Cotesia glomerata, 387 nucleotides. RefSeq lists it as uncharacterized. The record is from RefSeq and is a predicted model, not a curated record. Lineage: Eukaryota; Metazoa; Arthropoda; Insecta; Hymenoptera; Braconidae. The transcript is spliced from 3 exons.
GCAAGUUGUCACAUUGUAAAAAGUUCCAGUAGUCCAGUUGAGAAGAGGCAAAAUAAAGACCUUACUUGGUAAAAAUUGCUAAGAAGAAAUUUCUUUCACAGAAUGAUCCAAAAUAUGCUAAAACUACGACAUCCAAAAAAAUCCAACAAAAAAGUGCGUUGCGAGUCUAUUUUUUUAUAACAAAACGGUCAAAAUUGUUGUUUUAAGCAAAUAUAUGAUCAACUGUAGUACCCAGAUGAAAAAAUCCUUCGUAGUAGUAUGUAGUUAAAACUAAUGGAUAAAAUAAGUCAAUCAGUAGACUCCUACGUGCUAUAAAUCUUUAAUUAUCUAAAAGUUAAUUAAUUUUCUCCGUAAGGUAAUGUUUUUGUUGAUCCGCCAUAUUGCUUG